Molecule: ribosomal RNA, 502 nt
Filed under: uncultured Desulfobulbus sp.
Lineage: Bacteria; Pseudomonadati; Thermodesulfobacteriota; Desulfobulbia; Desulfobulbales; Desulfobulbaceae
Description: bacterial SSU rRNA
Rfam family: Bacterial small subunit ribosomal RNA
Source: RNAcentral
GCCCGCUCAGAAACUCAAAGGAAGUUGACGGGGCCCGGCACAAGCGGUGGAGUAUGUGGUUUAAUUCGAUGCAACGCGAAGAACCUUACCUGGUCUUGACAUCCCGGAGACCCUUAGGAAACUAGGGGGUGCUUCCAUCUGGAAGAAUCUGGAGACAGGUACUGCAUGGCUGUCGUCAGCUCGUGUCGUGAGAUGUUGGGUUAAGUCCCGCAACGAGCGCAACCCUUGCCUUUAGUUGCCAGCAGUUCGGCUGGGCACUCUAAAGGGACUGCCGGUGUUAAACCGGAGGAAGGUGGGGAUGACGUCAAGUCCUCAUGGCCUUUAUGACCAGGGCUACACACGUACUACAAUGGCCGAUACAAAGGGCAGCGACACUGCGAGGUGAAGCCAAUCCCGUAAAAUCGGUCUCAGUCCGGAUUGGAGUCUGCAACUCGACUCCAUGAAGUUGGAAUCGCUAGUAAUCGUGGAUCAGCAUGCCACGGUGAAUACGUUCCCGGGCCUU